AGUUGGUGGAGUGAUUUGUCUGGUUAAUUCCGUUAACGAACGAGACCUCGACCUGCUAAAUAGAUGAUUCGUUUCACAACGUUUCACGCUUCUUAGAGGGACUUUGGCAUUGAAGGCUACAGGAAGUUCGAGGCAAUAACAGGUCU
This 146-nucleotide ribosomal RNA is filed under the name Cercozoa sp. RNAcentral describes it as "partial small subunit ribosomal RNA". It matches the Rfam family "Eukaryotic small subunit ribosomal RNA", at positions 1296 to 1463 of the family's 1831-position model. Lineage: Eukaryota; Cercozoa. The record is from RNAcentral.